UUUAUCUUAAGGAACAGAUGCAGAUAUUUGGUUCUCACUCUCACUUAUGGUGCUAUCACUAGUAGAUAACUCACCUUCCAUGCAGCUCCUUUUGUCCCGGUUUAAAGUUAGCCCAGGACAAAAGGGGGGGCGCCACGGUAGGCUGGAAUGGGGCGGAGCUUUACUCCCGGUUGAUAUUUGCAACAGGGACUAAAGGCACCCCUUUUAUCCCGGUUGUAACAGCCAGAUUCCGG
RNAcentral lists this long non-coding RNA (233 nucleotides) under Setaria italica (foxtail millet). RNAcentral's name for it is "long non-coding RNA (SITA_LNC005019)". Lineage: Eukaryota; Viridiplantae; Streptophyta; Magnoliopsida; Poales; Poaceae. The record is from RNAcentral.